AUUCAUGGCUCAGGAUGAACGCUAGCUACAGGCUUAACACAUGCAAGUCGAGGGGCAGCAUGAACUUAGCUUGCUAAGUUUGAUGGCGACCGGCGCACGGGUGAGUAACACGUAUCCAACCUUCCGUUUACUCAGGGAUAGCCUUUCGAAAGAAAGAUUAAUACCUGAUAGUAUGGUGAGAUUGCAUGAUAACACCAUUAAAGAUUUAUUGGUAAACGAUGGGGAUGCGUUCCAUUAGGUAG
This 242-nucleotide ribosomal RNA is filed under the name uncultured bacterium. RNAcentral describes it as "partial 16S ribosomal RNA". It matches the Rfam family "Bacterial small subunit ribosomal RNA", at positions 15 to 248 of the family's 1533-position model. The record is from RNAcentral.